Telopea speciosissima is the source of this 322-nucleotide long non-coding RNA. RefSeq lists it as uncharacterized. The transcript is spliced from 3 exons. The record is from RefSeq and is a predicted model, not a curated record. NCBI's taxonomy places the organism in Eukaryota, Viridiplantae, Streptophyta, Magnoliopsida, Proteales, Proteaceae.
GUGACUGAUGAUCGAAUGAAGGAAAUGCAGAAUGAUGCCAUUUGUGGAAUGAAGGUGCUGAUGAGCAGCGAGGCAGGAAGGAUUCCAUUGCCUUGGAUGGUUAUUGCACAGAAGAUGUUGAGCCCAGAAAGGAGCUCAAUUUCCCUUAGUAGUAGUUCCUGCGUCAAAACAAACAUUUAACACCAAGGUCUUUUCCAAGAAUAGAAAUGAAGUAUUUUUCAAACCCCGUCAUGAAGAUAUCAUAGGAUACAGAUACCACAUUUGUAGCCAUAUAUCCAAACCCAACAGACAGGCUUUUCUGUAAAAAAAAAAUAGUAAAACC